Molecule: ribosomal RNA, 254 nt
Filed under: uncultured bacterium
Lineage: Bacteria
Description: partial 16S ribosomal RNA
Rfam family: Bacterial small subunit ribosomal RNA
Source: RNAcentral
UACGUAGGGAGCAAGCGUUGUCCGGAUUUACUGGGCGUAAAGAGCGCGCAGGCGGUCGUUCAAGUCGCGUGUGAAAGCCCCCGGCUCAACUGGGGAGGGUCACGCGAUACUGAUCGACUCGAAGGCAGGAGAGGGAAGUGGAAUUCCCGGUGUAGUGGUGAAAUGCGUAGAUAUCGGGAGGAACACCAGUGGCGAAGGCGACUUCCUGGCCUGUUCUUGACGCUGAGGCGCGAAAGCUAGGGGAGCAAACGGGG